This 58-nucleotide transfer RNA is filed under the name Neotoma lepida (desert woodrat). It matches the Rfam family "tRNA", at positions 8 to 63 of the family's 71-position model. Rfam says of the family: Transfer RNA (tRNA) molecules are approximately 80 nucleotides in length. Their secondary structure includes four short double-helical elements and three loops (D, anti-codon, and T loops). Lineage: Eukaryota; Metazoa; Chordata; Mammalia; Rodentia; Cricetidae. The record is from Rfam by way of RNAcentral. RNAcentral also lists the same sequence under 1 other name.
UGGCUCAGUUGUUAAGAGCACUGGCUGCUCUUCCAGAGGACCUGGGUUCAAUUCCCAG